RNAcentral lists this ribosomal RNA (342 nucleotides) under Triticum aestivum (bread wheat). RNAcentral's name for it is "partial small subunit ribosomal RNA". The record is from RNAcentral. Lineage: Eukaryota; Viridiplantae; Streptophyta; Magnoliopsida; Poales; Poaceae.
AUGAUUAUGGGCCGUGCUGACAGUGAGGACCUGACUGCUGCACAAAUCUUCUAUCCUUGCAUGCAAUGUACUGAUAUGUUUUUCCUGAAGAUGACCAUCGUGCUACACCCGUCCAGGAUACAACACAACGGAGACACAGGCGUAUACGUGCAGCAGGGACCCGUUCCAAGGAUUCUUUUUAGAUUAAGACCCUGCGUAAACCUUUUUUACUGUCUCUUGUUGAUACACAUCCCCCGGAUUCUCAUUACAACUGAGAAGGAUGCUGACGUAUUGGCAUGUGGCCACGUCAGAAUAUUGCAUGUACCUGGACACCAGGGGCUUAUUACAAAGGGCACUGUUUAG